AUGUACCAUCUGAUUGCUCUGGACCCAUCCUUAAAUCAGAAAUUCUUUGUCUCACAGUUCAUCAUCGGUCUCAAGGAUGAGGUCCGCACAGGAGUGCGCCUGCACGCGCCGACGAGCGUUUCCAGGGCAGCGGCACUUGCUCGGAUUCAGGAGGAAGAAUCUGAACACAGUAAGUCACGGGGUCGCCCACCGGUGUAUACUCGCGCCAUUCCUCCACCCCCGGUGCUUGCAAUGGCUCCUGGACCAGUACAACCCCGCAUUGAUGGUGCUAAGCGCGGCCCGGAUGAUUUUGGCCGUGAACGACAACUGCGGGAAUUCAGGCGAGCCAUUGGCCUGUGUUUUAAGUGCGGCGAUAAGUAUUCCCGGGAACACAAGUGUAACAAGGUGGGUCAGCUUCUGACCAUUGAGGUUGGCGAUCAUGGUGAGCUUCUAUCGGAUGAUGCCAUACGUGCUCUGGAGUUGCUGGAUGAAAAUACAGAAGAAGAAGCAGUUUGCUGUCAAAUUUCCAUGCAUGCCGUCGCGGGAACGGAGUCGUCGGGUACAAUGAGGUUAAGAGCAUUAGUUGGCAAUCAGGUAAUGUUGUUGCUGGUGGAUUCGGGCAGUACCCACACGUUUGUGAAUUCAGCGUUUGUAGAGCGUGCCGGUUGUAAAAUUCAGGACGUCGAUCCUGUCAUAGUGAGGGUAGCCAACGGAGAAACCCUGCAGUCCAAGCAACAAGUGUCUCAAUUACAGUGGUGGUGUCAGGGCCACACUUUCAACACUGAUAUGCGGUUGCUUGAGCUUGGCGCUUAUGAUGCAGUUUUGGGAGUCAAUUGGCUCGCUCAAUUCAGUCCUAUGAACUGUCAUUGGGGACUCAAAACCAUGGAAUUCAGACAAGCCAAUAUGAACAUCAAGUUGCAGGGCGUGCGUACUCCGACAGAGCCUGCACUUACUGAGAUGCAUGCGGAUCAGCUGUAUAAAUGGAUUCAGGGCAAUGAAGUGUGGGCACUUGCAGUCAUUCAACAGGAACAAAAAUCCGAGUCCUCUGAUGACUCCAGGCCUCCUCAGUUACAAGCACUUCUGGAAGAAUUUGCUGACAUUUUUCAGGAACCAACCACGCUACCGCCACAUCGUGAGUUUGAUCAUGCAAUUCAUCUCACGCCCGGUUCCUCUCCACCCAAUGUCAGACCGUAUCGCUACUCGCCAUUGCAGAAGGAUGAAAUUGAACGCCAGGUUGUAGAGAUAUUAAAAGCUGGCCUCAUCACCACGAGCAUCAGUCCCUUUGCUGCCCCGGUGCUACUAGUAAAGAAGAAAGACGGUACCUGGCGUUUCUGUAUCGAUUAUCGUCGGCUAAAUGACAUCACUAUAAAGAACAAGUUCCCAUUGCCGGUCAUUGACGAGCUACUUGACGAAUUGGCUGGUGCACGUUUUUUCUCCAAAAUUGAUCUACGGGCGGGCUACCAUCAAAUUUGGAUGCGCCCUGAGGAUGAACCAAAAACAGCAUUCAAGACCCACCAUGGCCAUUUCCAGUUUCGCGUGAUGCCAUUCGGGGUGACGAAUGGACCACCAACUUUUCAGUGCUUGAUGAAUUUCGUCCUUUCACCAACAACGCGUAAGUUUGUCAUCGUUUUCCUGGACGACAUAUUGACUUACAGCCCCUCAUUUGAUGAGCACUUAUAG
RNAcentral lists this ribosomal RNA (1659 nucleotides) under Triticum aestivum (bread wheat). RNAcentral's name for it is "partial small subunit ribosomal RNA". The record is from RNAcentral. Lineage: Eukaryota; Viridiplantae; Streptophyta; Magnoliopsida; Poales; Poaceae.